Molecule: ribosomal RNA, 547 nt
Filed under: Fusarium graminearum
Lineage: Eukaryota; Fungi; Ascomycota; Sordariomycetes; Hypocreales; Nectriaceae
Description: eukaryotic LSU rRNA
Rfam family: 5.8S ribosomal RNA (bases 192-345)
Source: RNAcentral
UCGUAACAAGGUCUCCGUUGGUGAACCAGCGGAGGGAUCAUUACCGAGUUUACAACUCCCAAACCCCUGUGAACAUACCUUAUGUUGCCUCGGCGGAUCAGCCCGCGCCCCGUAAAAAGGGACGGCCCGCCGCAGGAACCCUAAACUCUGUUUUUAGUGGAACUUCUGAGUAUAAAAAACAAAUAAAUCAAAACUUUCAACAACGGAUCUCUUGGUUCUGGCAUCGAUGAAGAACGCAGCAAAAUGCGAUAAGUAAUGUGAAUUGCAGAAUUCAGUGAAUCAUCGAAUCUUUGAACGCACAUUGCGCCCGCCAGUAUUCUGGCGGGCAUGCCUGUUCGAGCGUCAUUUCAACCCUCAAGCCCAGCUUGGUGUUGGGAGCUGCAGUCCUGCUGCACUCCCCAAAUACAUUGGCGGUCACGUCGAGCUUCCAUAGCGUAGUAAUUUACACAUCGUUACUGGUAAUCGUCGCGGCCACGCCGUUAAACCCCAACUUCUGAAUGUUGACCUCGGAUCAGGUAGGAAUACCCGCUGAACUUAAGCAUAUCAA